GAUGGAUUGGCAGCAUUUACAGUUAUUUUCUCCGUGCUAGGAUGGCUCUUAGAAAGGGCAAGAGCAGCCUGGAGGAAGCUGUGCUCCCAAUCCCACUGAGUACAGCAGUGAUGUUGUCACUGCUGGUUGUCAUUUGAAUGUCGCUGUGCCACGGGAAGAGACACUCCAUGGGAAGGAUCUGAAUUCUCCUGAGCAGCAGCAUCUGAGACUUCACAUCACAUCUCGCUCCUCAUCCACCAAAGUGCUCCUGCAGGCAGCAAAUUGGCACUUUGCAAGUGAAUACAGAAGGUGAAAUGUGGAUGGUGUCAGCAAAAGGUACUUGAGUGAGCAAUUCAGAGCUGUGGGAUGUACCAGGUCAGAAAAUGGUACUAUCUAUGACACUCCAGUGUGCUUUAAAGCCCUCCAAUUAACUGCACUCUUUGAGGUUGGGCAGCUGACACGACGCUCACAAACCCCAGGAAUCCCAAAGCUCGAGCAUCACUUCCCGUGGGUGUUUCUAAAGGGGGAGAAGACACUGAACACUUUCAUUUUCCGUGUAAAUAUUGGCACCCCUACAUGCCCAAAGAAGGAUUCUGAGAGCCCCUGAGUUUCUAAACACCAGGAGGGAGGAAAGUGCAGACCACAGUC
Long non-coding RNA from Lepidothrix coronata (blue-crowned manakin), 627 nucleotides. RefSeq lists it as uncharacterized. Lineage: Eukaryota; Metazoa; Chordata; Aves; Passeriformes; Pipridae. The transcript is spliced from 3 exons. The record is from RefSeq and is a predicted model, not a curated record.